GAUGAACGCUGGCGGCGUGCCUAAUACAUGCAAGUCGAGCGAACAGACGAGGAGCUUGCUCCCCUGACGUUAGCGGCGGACGGGUGAGUAACACGUGGAUAACCUACCUAUAAGACUGGGAUAACUUCGGGAAACCGGAGCUAAUACCGGAUAAUAUAUUGAACCGCAUGGUUCAAUAGUGAAAGACGGUUUUGCUGUCACUAAUAGAUGGAUCCGCGCCGCAUUAGCUAGUUGGUAAGGUAACGGCUUACCAAGGCAACGAUGCGUAGCCGACCUGAGAGGGUGAUCGGCCACACUGGAACUGAGACACGGUCCAGACUCCUACGGGAGGCAGCAGUAGGGAAUCUUCCGCAAUGGGCGAAAGCCUGACGGAGCAACGCCGCGUGAGUGAUGAAGGUCUUCGGAUCGUAAAACUCUGUUAUUAGGGAAGAACAAAUGUGUAAGUAACUAUGCACGUCUUGACGGUACCUAAUCAGAAAGCCACGGCUAACUACGUG
This 497-nucleotide ribosomal RNA is filed under the name uncultured bacterium. RNAcentral's name for it is "partial 16S ribosomal RNA". It matches the Rfam family "Bacterial small subunit ribosomal RNA", at positions 28 to 507 of the family's 1533-position model. The record is from RNAcentral.